Molecule: ribosomal RNA, 509 nt
Filed under: uncultured bacterium
Lineage: Bacteria
Description: bacterial SSU rRNA
Rfam family: Bacterial small subunit ribosomal RNA
Source: RNAcentral
GAUUAUGGCUCAGGAUGAACGCUAGCGGCAGGCUUAACACAUGCAAGUCGAGGGGCAACGCGAGUAGCAAUACUUGGCGGCGACCGGCGCAAGGGUGCGUAACGCGUGAGCAACAUGCCCGUAUCAGGGGGAUAAUCCAGGGAAACUUGGUCUAAUACCCCAUAGUAAUUUUGUAAGGCAUCUUAUAAGAUUUAAAGCUUUGGUGGAUACGGAUUGGCUCGCGUGACAUUAGCUGGAUGGUAAGGUAACGGCUUACCAUGGCUAUGAUGUCUAGGGGUUCUGAGAGGAAGGUCCCCCACACUGGAACUGAGACACGGUCCAGACUCCUACGGGAGGCAGCAGUGAGGAAUAUUGGACAAUGGAUGGAAAUCUGAUCCAGCCAUGCCGCGUGAAAGGAAGAAGGUCCUAUGGAUUGUAAACUUCUUUUGUAUGGGAGCAAUAAGGCCUACGAGUAGGUUGAUGAGAGUACCAUACGAAUAAGCACCGGCUAACUCCGUGCCAGCAGCAGC